GAUGAACGCUGGCGGCGUGCCUAAUACAUGCAAGUCGAGCGAACAGACGAGGAGCUUGCUCCUCUGACGUUAGCGGCGGACGGGUGAGUAACACGUGGAUAACCUACCUAUAAGACUGGGAUAACUUCGGGAAGCCGGAGCUAAUACCGGAUAACAUGUUGAACCGCAUGGUUCAACAGUGAAAGACGGUUUUGCUGUCACUUAUAGAUGGAUCCGCGCCGCAUUAGCUAGUUGGUAAGGUAACGGCUUACCAAGGCAACGAUGCGUAGCCGACCUGAGAGGGUGAUCGGCCACACUGGAACUGAGACACGGUCCAGACUCCUACGGGAGGCAGCAGUAGGGAAUCUUCCGCAAUGGGCGAAAGCCUGACGGAGCAACGCCGCGUGAGUGAAGAAGGUCUUCGGAUCGUAAAACUCUGUUAUUAGGGAAGAACAAAUGUGUAAGUAACUAUGCACGUCUUGACGGUACCUAACCAGAAAGCCACGGCUAACUACGUG
RNAcentral lists this ribosomal RNA (497 nucleotides) under uncultured bacterium. Its description in RNAcentral is "partial 16S ribosomal RNA". It matches the Rfam family "Bacterial small subunit ribosomal RNA", at positions 28 to 507 of the family's 1533-position model. The record is from RNAcentral.